Heterocephalus glaber (naked mole-rat) is the source of this 1069-nucleotide long non-coding RNA. RefSeq lists it as uncharacterized. The record is from RefSeq and is a predicted model, not a curated record. NCBI's taxonomy places the organism in Eukaryota, Metazoa, Chordata, Mammalia, Rodentia, Bathyergidae.
CUUCCCCUUCCUUUUCCUUUUCCCCUUGCCUUCUCCCCACCUUUCUUCUUUGUUGAUUAGGGCUUGACAACAAUAACUCCAUUUGGAUUCUGAUCAUUUCACACAAUAAAUCAAGAAAGUCAAGUCAAUACCCAUGAUGAAAAGCUGGAGAAAGCAUUACUGUUCCUAGUCCUCUUAGGAAAAGUAUUCACAGUUCAUUUGGAAGGAGAGUCCCCAGCACUGGUGUGGGAGUCAGCUCUACCAGGGCCACAGCUGCAUGGUCCUUGGGAAUUUUGCCAACCGCUUAGACCACAUGGAUGACCAGAUACUCAGUGCCUGGCAGAGGAUGACUGGACUUGCUGCUGCAGUUAAGAAGAGGUACAAAGCCCUGGUGGCUGACAGGCCACAUACUCUGCUGUGACCAGGGCCUUUGUGUGCUCACAUGGUAGGAUCCAGGAGAGGAAGAUGCUGGCCUCAUCAUCCUGUGUCUCAACUGUUACUCUGCAGUUUGGUUCAGAGACUGUCCAACUCCUGGCACUCAAGCAUAUCACUCAGACCAAUUUUUCUUACUCAGCUUCUACAAUAGACUGACUUUUCCAAGAAUGACUCCAACAGUGUGUGCCAAUCCCCAGGUUUACCUGCAAUUUGAUGGUCAGACCCUCUAACUGCUUUGUGUGACAGAGUGGGACAUUGUGCUGCUCAUGGGCCUAGUCCUUACCUGGCAGGCCCUCCUUGUUGGACCUCAAAUUAAGCAUGGUUAUCCUGGGGUCUCCAUGCUGUGAUCAUCCAUGCUCCUUUGAGAGACCCCAGAGGAAGAGGAUGACCCCUACAGAAGGAGCAGCAAGAGACAGAAUCAAGUCACUAGACAUGAAAAGGAGUCAACUUGGAAGUAGAUCUUCCAGACCCAGCCACGUGGAGCAGAGUUGAACCACCUAGCCAAGCCCUUUGCAGACCCAAAUCCACAGAAACAUGAGUGUUAAGCCAUGAAGCUGCUUGUUUACACAGGAAUAGCUAACUGGAACCUGUUCAAAUGUCUACCCCAAAUCUUGUUAACCCCAACCUUCUAUGAAAGAUGCUUCCUAUUAACCUA